AUAUACACUAUAUGAUGUAUAAAUGUAUACACACUUCCUGUAUCUCCAUGUAUACAGUGUAUAUAUUAUACAUGUAUAGGUGUGUAUAUG
Molecule: microRNA precursor, 90 nt
Organism: Myotis lucifugus (little brown bat)
Lineage: Eukaryota; Metazoa; Chordata; Mammalia; Chiroptera; Vespertilionidae
Source: Ensembl